CAGAACGAACGCUGGCGGCGCGUCUUAAGCAUGCAAGUCGAACGGCAAGAGGUAGCAAUACCUCCUAGAGUGGCGGACUGGUGAGUAACACGUGGGUGACAUACCCUUCAGAUGGGGAUAGCUAUUAGAAAUAGUAGAUAAUACCGAAUACGAGCACAGGGGUUAGAGAUCUGUGAGGAAAGGAGCUAAGGCUCCGCUGAAGGAAUGGCCUGCGGCCCAUUAGCUAGUUGGUGAGGUAAGAGCCCACCAAGGCGAUGAUGGGUAUCCGGCCUUAGAGGGUGAACGGACACAUUGGGACUGAGAUACGGCCCAGACUCCUACGGGAGGCAGCAGCUAAGAAUAUUCCGCAAUGGACGAAAGUCUGACGGAGCGACGCCGCGUGGAUGACGAAGGCCGAAAGGUUGUAAAAUCCUUUUGCUGAUGAAGAAUAAGCGUGGUAGGGAAUGACCGCGUGAUGACAUUAGUCGGUGAAUAAGCCCCGGCUAACUACGUGCCAGCCGCUGC
RNAcentral lists this ribosomal RNA (504 nucleotides) under uncultured bacterium. RNAcentral's name for it is "bacterial SSU rRNA". It matches the Rfam family "Bacterial small subunit ribosomal RNA", at positions 25 to 518 of the family's 1533-position model. The record is from RNAcentral.